CACGUAGGGUGCGAGCGUUGUCCGGAAUUACUGGGCGUAAAGGGCGCGUAGGCGGCACGGCAAGUCAGGAGUGAAAGGCCUGGGCUCAACCGAGGAACUGCUUUUGAGACUGCCGAGCUAGAGUGCGGAAGGGGCAACCGGAAUUCCCAGUGUAGCGGUGAAAUGCGUAGAUAUUGGGAAGAACACCUGAGGCGAAGGCGGGUUGCUGGGCCGACACUGACGCUGAGGCGCGAAAGCCAGGGGAGCAAACGGG
This 253-nucleotide ribosomal RNA is filed under the name uncultured bacterium. RNAcentral describes it as "partial 16S ribosomal RNA". It matches the Rfam family "Bacterial small subunit ribosomal RNA", at positions 524 to 776 of the family's 1533-position model. The record is from RNAcentral.